AUGUUAGCGGCGGACGGGUGAGUAACACGUGGGUAACCUGCCUGUAAGACUGGGAUAACUCCGGGAAACCGGGGCUAAUACCGGAUGGUUGUCUGAACCGCAUGGUUCAGACAUAAAAGGUGGCUUCGGCUACCACUUACAGAUGGACCCGCGGCGCAUUAGCUAGUUGGUGAGGUAACGGCUCACCAAGGCGACGAUGCGUAGCCAACCUGAGAGGGUGAUCGGCCACACUGGGACUGAGACACGGCCCAGACUCCUACGGGAGGCAGCAGUAGGGAAUCUUCCGCAAUGGACGAAAGUCUGACGGAGCAACGCCGCGUGAGUGAUGAAGGUUUUCGGAUCGUAAAGCUCUGUUGUUAGGGAAGAACAAGUGCCGUUCAAAUAGGGCGGCACCUUGACGGUACCUAACCAGAAAGCCACGGCUAACUACGUGCCAGCAGCCGCGGUAAUACGUAGGUGGCAAGCGUUGUCCGGAAUUAUUGGGCGUAAAGGGCUCGCAGGCGGUUUCUUAAGUCUGAUGUGAAAGCCCCCGGCUCAACCGGGGAGGGUCAUUGGAAACUGGGGAACUUGAGUGCAGAAGAGGAGAGUGGAAUUCCACGUGUAGCGGUGAAAUGCGUAGAGAUGUGGAGGAACACCAGUGGCGAAGGCGACUCUCUGGUCUGUAACUGACGCUGAGGAGCGAAAGCGUGGGGAGCGAACAGGAUUAGAUACCCUGGUAGUCCACGCCGUAAACGAUGAGUGCUAAGUGUUAGGGGGUUUCCGCCCCUUAGUGCUGCAGCUAACGCAUUAAGCACUCCGCCUGGGGAGUACGGUCGCAAGACUGAAACUCAAAGGAAUUGACGGGGGCCCGCACAAGCGGUGGAGCAUGUGGUUUAAUUCGAAGCAACGCGAAGAACCUUACCAGGUCUUGACAUCCUCUGACAAUCCUAGAGAUAGGACGUCCCCUUCGGGGGCAGAGUGACAGGUGGUGCAUGGUUGUCGUCAGCUCGUGUCGUGAGAUGUUGGGUUAAGUCCCGCAACGAGCGCAACCCUUGAUCUUAGUUGCCAGCAUUCAGUUGGGCACUCUAAGGUGACUGCCGGUGACAAACCGGAGGAAGGUGGGGAUGACGUCAAAUCAUCAUGCCCCUUAUGACCUGGGCUACACACGUGCUACAAUGGACAGAACAAAGGGCAGCGAAACCGCGAGGUUAAGCCAAUCCCACAAAUCUGUUCUCAGUUCGGAUCG
RNAcentral lists this ribosomal RNA (1225 nucleotides) under Bacillus velezensis. RNAcentral's name for it is "bacterial SSU rRNA". It matches the Rfam family "Bacterial small subunit ribosomal RNA", at positions 89 to 1300 of the family's 1533-position model. Lineage: Bacteria; Bacillati; Bacillota; Bacilli; Caryophanales; Bacillaceae. The record is from RNAcentral.